RNAcentral lists this ribosomal RNA (494 nucleotides) under uncultured Enterobacteriaceae bacterium. Its description in RNAcentral is "bacterial SSU rRNA". It matches the Rfam family "Bacterial small subunit ribosomal RNA", at positions 888 to 1382 of the family's 1533-position model. Lineage: Bacteria; Pseudomonadati; Pseudomonadota; Gammaproteobacteria; Enterobacterales; Enterobacteriaceae. The record is from RNAcentral.
CCCGCUCAGAAACUCAAAGGAAUUGACGGGGGCCCGCACAAGCGGUGGAGCAUGUGGUUUAAUUCGAUGCAACGCGAAGAACCUUACCUGGUCUUGACAUCCACAGAAUUCCGCAGAGAUGCGGAAGUGCCUUCGGGAACUGUGAGACAGGUGCUGCAUGGCUGUCGUCAGCUCGUGUUGUGAAUUGUUGGGUUAAGUCCCGCAACGAGCGCAACCCUUAUCCUUUGUUGCCAGCGGUUAGGCCGGGAACUCAAAGGAGACUGCCAGUGAUAAACUGGAGGAAGGUGGGGAUGACGUCAAGUCAUCAUGGCCCUUACGACCAGGGCUACACACGUGCUACAAUGGCGCAUACAAAGAGAAGCGACCUCGCGAGAGCAAGCGGACCUCAUAAAGUGCGUCGUAGUCCGGAUUGGAGUCUGCAACUCGACUCCAUGAAGUCGGAAUCGCUAGUAAUCGUGGAUCAGAAUGCCACGGUGAAUACGUUCCCGGGCCUU